AUACGGAGGAUGCAAGCGUUAUCCGGAAUCAUUGGGUUUAAAGGGUCCGUAGGUGGACAGAUAAGUCAGAGGUGAAAUCCCACGGCUCAACCGUGGAACUGCCUUUGAUACUGUUUGUCUUGAGUCGUUGUGAAGUGGUUGGAAUGAGUAGUGUAGAGGUGAAAUUCGUAGAUAUUUGGAGGAACACCAGUGGCGAAGGCGGCUCACUGGCUCGAUACUGACGCUGAGGUGCGAAAGUGUGGGGAGCAAACAGGAUUAGAUACCCCUGUAGUCCUGGCCGUAAACGAUGAACACUAGGUGUCGGGGGAAUCGACCCCCUCGGUGUCGUAGCCAACGCGUUAAGUGUUCCGCCUGGGGAGUACGCACGCAAGUGUGAAACUCAAAUGAAUUGACGGGGCCCGCACAAGCGGUGGGGCAUGUGGUUUAAUUCGAAGCAACGCGAAGAACCUUACCUACACUUGACAUCCAGAGAACUUUCUAGAGAUAGAUUGGUGCCUUC
Molecule: ribosomal RNA, 499 nt
Filed under: uncultured Limnothrix sp.
Lineage: Bacteria; Bacillati; Cyanobacteriota; Cyanophyceae; Pseudanabaenales; Pseudanabaenaceae
Description: bacterial SSU rRNA
Rfam family: Bacterial small subunit ribosomal RNA
Source: RNAcentral